Long non-coding RNA from Eriocheir sinensis (Chinese mitten crab), 999 nucleotides. RefSeq lists it as uncharacterized. The transcript has 3 exons. NCBI's taxonomy places the organism in Eukaryota, Metazoa, Arthropoda, Malacostraca, Decapoda, Varunidae. The record is from RefSeq and is a predicted model, not a curated record.
ACAAAACAAACCACUGAUGCAUUUCAACACUUUAUAUUCUCAAGUCCGUCAUAAUUGUGCUUCUUUGAAUGCAAACACACAUACAUACAUACACUCCAUAAAAUAUAUCAGGUGGCUCUUAAUUAAUUACCUGGAGGACUUACUUAAGGUGGCCAGGUAAGGUCUUUCAGCUGGUCCUUCACUGCCAAGGCCAAGGGCACCCCUGUUAGCAUACAUCACAGUCACAUAUCACUGCCACACCCCGGGGUAGAGAGGGGGUGUAGAGGUGGGAGAGGGGUGAUGGGUGAGAGCUGAAGGGUGCUGAGGGAGUGCUGAGGGCUGCUACUGGGUGCUGAGUGAGUGCUGCUGAAGGGUGAUAGAAUAGAGAAGGGCUGUAGAGGGGUGUAAAGGGGUGCUGAGUAGUGUUAAUAGUGCUGAACGAUGCUGAAGUGUGAUGAGGGGUGCUAGUAUAGAGAGGGGCUGUAGAGGGGUGUAAAGGGGUGCUGAGUAGUGUUAAUAGUGGUGAACGAUGCUGAAAGGUGAUGAGGGGUGCUAGUAUAGAGAGGGGCUGUAGAGAGGUGUAAAGGGCUGCUGAGGGGUAUUGAAAUGUGCUGAAGGGUGCUGAGGAAGUGCUGAAGGAUGCUGAGGGAGAAGUGAGGGAUGCUUUAAGGGUGCUGAGUGUUGCUGAGGAAGUGCUGAAGGGUGCUGAGGGAGAAGCAAAGGAUGCUGAGUGUUGCUGAGGGAGUGCUGAAGGGUGGUGAGGUCAGCUUUAAGGGUGCUGAGUGUUGCUGAGGGAGUGCUGAAGGGUGGUGAGGUCAGCUUUAAGGGUGCUGAGUGUUGCUGAGGGAGUGCUGAAGGGUGGUGAGGUCAGCUUUAAGGGUGCUGAGGGAGUGCUGAAGGGGUGUGUGAGGGACUGAGGGUAGCUGAAAGAGUGCUGACAGGUUCUGGGGGCUGAUGAAUAAUAGUAAUAAAGUAUAUGAAAGAAUUUAAGUAAAGUAAAGAUAGCAAGCAGCAGCAAUA